This is a long non-coding RNA of Girardinichthys multiradiatus, 634 nucleotides long. RefSeq lists it as uncharacterized. The record is from RefSeq and is a predicted model, not a curated record. NCBI's taxonomy places the organism in Eukaryota, Metazoa, Chordata, Actinopteri, Cyprinodontiformes, Goodeidae. The transcript has 4 exons.
GCCUUGAAAAGGCACCUGAAAACAAACAAAACGUCAUACCUGGUAAUACUUCAUAUUAUCAUGCAAUGAUUAAAAAGCCAUCAGAAUCAUUACAUUCACGGUAGAGUACAACACAAGCAAAGCACCAAUUCUAAUGUGACUGGUAGAUGCAGCUGCAACAGGUGUUUCUCGUUGAGCCAAAUCACUGGGGUUUCUUGAGUAGCACGAACUUGGGGAAGAUAUCUGAUCACUCUGUGACAGUGUCCUGGAUUCCAAGCUCUGUAUCCAUGCUCUGGCCUGGCGAGUUCUGGAAAAGACUCCCUGCCGCUCCGAUCUUGAGUCUCCCUUUCUUUCCUACCUCCCUCCAGCCCUGCAGCUCUGAGAUCACCUUGUGGAAACACCAAAACACUGCUCACCUGCUUGUCUAUCCUCUAACACCGCGUGCUCAGCUGAAGCACUGCCGCUUAAGAAACACAAAGCGAGAAUGUCAGCACUGAGUCUCCAUUAUACUCCUGCCACACUCAACCUCUGUGGGGCAGACUUGCCACCUCUAACAAGCCAUCAUCCACCACCAAACAUGCCAAUCCAGAUCCCUCCGGCAGAUCCAGUCUGUAUUCUACCUAGUUUUGUACAUUUUACAAAUAAACUUUUAAAC